UGGAUGUAGGUAAGUUGUUGAAAGCUUGUUCUGAAAGCCUUUAAUUAAUUAAUUAAUUGAUUAACGAAUUAAUUUAUUUAUUUUUGGCUUGGCACUACUUCCAUGAACAUGGAAAAUAGCCAAAGUAGGAAGCUGCCCACUGAGGAAUGCUGCUUUACCAUCCAGCCCAAGUACCAUAAGGAAUUCAAUGUUUUUUUUUUUCUUCCUUUCUCGAUAUGCAAUAAUUCUUAAAGUGGCAACCGUGUUAGUAGCUACAACAAGACAAGUGCUAGGAAGAAGGUGGAGUUUCUCUUUUUACCAUUCCUGUGGCCCUAAUGGAAAUGAAAAAGUGCAGAGACGGGUCAAGGCUUGAGGAUACCUUCCAUUGACAAAGUUGUUAGAAAGUCAGUAUCUCAAAGCUCAAAAAACAUAAACUGGGAAUCUGUAUCCUUUAAACAUUUUGAUUUUAUUUUCCUGAAGAUUUGUGUAUGUGAUUGCAUAGUAUUUUUUUUUUCAUGGAAAUUGAACCCAGAGACUGGCAUGGAUGGGCUAAGUAUGUAUUCUACUACUGAACUAAAACCCCCAACUUGCAAAAUAGUUUCAAAUUGCAUUUCUACAUAUUUACUCUAAAUCUAUUUUAGAAACUCAUCCAUAAAUCCAGCUCAUAUUAUUCUGCUUUUCUAACUUUUCUCCUGGGUAGAAAGAAAAGUGAAAGAGACUUGGAAUGACAGAUUUUUUUUUUUUUUUUGGUGGGUCUUCAAAAAACCUAGCUUCCUUACAGUAUCCACUUGAAAACAUUCUUCACUUUUCAUAAAUUUCUGUAAACCUAAAACUUGGGAAGUGAAGAGUUGUGACAGUAGCUACCGUUUAUUAAUGCUGUUCUAGUACUUUAUACAUAAGUGGCUCAUUUCUCUUCAUAACAAGGUACUUUUACUAUUGUUUCUGUUUUACAGAUGAAGCCCUGGUGCUAGUUAGGGCACAGCUGGGGUCCACCAGGAAGCCUGGGGCCAGUUGCACUUACUCUGUUCAUUCUCCAGGACAACAUACAGAUGUUGCGUGGCCACAUGUACAUUUCUAGCUAAUUUGCCAUGGUGUCGUACAUUUGCCAGCUUCAUGAAAUAGAAGAGAUCCCUGUUGCUUGUCCACGUUUGCCCAUUUUUCUUUCUUUUGUGAAACCAAAUAGAACUCUCUUUCUUUGGUGAAUGAGGUGAAGUUAUCAACCAUAACUAUGUAAAGCUCUUUAAAUGCUCAUGGUGACAUGGACUAGAUGUUUGAGCUUGCCAUUCUUUUUGGUUUGAAUAAUUGAUCCAACUGGAGAAACUGAUGGGGUCUUCAGGUUGCCACCUUCCAUUCCUGAAUGACCAUGAAUUAGCGUGGGCUUCGUUUCAAAUGUAUAUGAGUGUCGAUGAAAUAACACGGUACAGAAGACAUAUAAUUUUAAGAUAACAUUAAUUAUUUUAUAAAUAAUUAUUCAGAUGCAUCAAAACCCUAUCAUAUCUAUCCAUACAUCCAUAUCAAUUUUUGGUAUACACCAGCUUUCAUUUCGUAAAACAACCCAUAUCAUUUUGGGCCUGCACUAUAUAUAGAGAGAGUUAUGUUUGAGUUCAGUCCGAAAUUUCCCUUUCUUAUCACGGCCAUGUUGUAACAGGUAUCUUCUGUACCAAAUCAUGUACCUAACAUUUACGUCCAUCAUGAACUAAUGCCUUUUAGUGGAGUAGCCCUGAUAUUGUGAUCUUCCACGGCAUAGUGGUGGGAAGGGGAGGGAAACAUUAAAUGUCAGUAGCUACAGCAAGUAGCUACUGGAAAGGGCUCUAGGAAGAGGGCAGAGUGUCUCUCCGGUUUCACGUUCCUGUGGCCCGAGCGGAAAUGUAAAAGUGCAGGGUUUGCAUUGGAAUGAGAAUGGGGUCACCUCCCUUUUGUAGUCAUCAUCAAGGAAGCAGAACUUCCUUCCAGAGAGACCAGAGGAAAUCAAUGAUCGCACUUUGCCAGCAAAGAGGUAAAUGUGUACCGCAGAUGGCAUUAAAUAAAAGGACAGCCGAAAAUGACGGACUCUCCCAGGCAGUGUGACUUUUUGGUCACUUCAAAGCAUU
This 2069-nucleotide long non-coding RNA is filed under the name Marmota monax (woodchuck). The record is from RNAcentral. Lineage: Eukaryota; Metazoa; Chordata; Mammalia; Rodentia; Sciuridae.